Pongo pygmaeus (Bornean orangutan) is the source of this 5958-nucleotide RNA transcript. It is a transcript of the gene named capping actin protein of muscle Z-line subunit beta, with no coding region annotated. The record is from RefSeq and is a predicted model, not a curated record. Lineage: Eukaryota; Metazoa; Chordata; Mammalia; Primates; Hominidae. The transcript is spliced from 7 exons.
UGGCGGCGGCCUGGCGCUGGGGGAGGGGGGUGCUGACCCGGAUGUUCACUCCUGGGCACCCGGGGAAGUGGAAGCGCCGGGCCCUGCUGCGGGGGGGACAGCCACUGACGCCGGGACCGGGACCGCCGCCGCCGCCGCCACCAUGAGUGAUCAGCAGCUGGACUGUGCCUUGGACCUAAUGAGGCGCCUGCCUCCCCAGCAAAUCGAGAAAAACCUCAGCGACCUGAUCGACCUGGUUCCCAGUCUAUGUGAGGAUCUCCUGUCUUCUGUUGACCAGCCACUGAAAAUUGCCAGAGACAAGGUGGUGGGAAAGGAUUACCUUUUGUGUGACUACAACAGAGAUGGGGACUCCUAUAGGUCACCAUGGAGUAACAAGUAUGACCCUCCCUUGGAGGAUGGGGCCAUGCCGUCCGCUCGGCUGAGAAAGCUGGAGGUGGAAGCCAACAAUGCCUUUGACCAGUAUCGAGACCUGUAUUUUGAAGGCGGCGUCUCAUCUGUCUACCUCUGGGAUCUGGAUCAUGGCUUUGCUGGAGUGAUCCUCAUAAAGAAGGCUGGAGAUGGAUCAAAGAAGAUCAAAGGCUGCUGGGAUUCCAUCCACGUGGUAGAAGUGCAGGAGAAAUCCAGCGGUCGCACCGCCCAUUACAAGUUGACCUCCACGGUGAUGCUGUGGCUGCAGACCAACAAAUCUGGCUCUGGCACCAUGAACCUCGGAGGCAGCCUUACCAGACAGGUAGAGUUACCCGCUCGUAGCCACUUGCCAGUGCCCACAGGUACUGGCCUCAGCGCUGACCUGCAGAGAUGAGUGAGCAGGUGCCCCAUUUAGGGUAAGCAUGUUCAGCCAUCUAAAAUCCACCAUCUAAGUAGGGCUUCGCAUUUUCAAAUAAAAGCUCUCUGGGCUGUGCAAGGUUGCCCACAGCUGCUGGCACUCUGCUGGCCUCCUGUUGAGGGAGGCCAGGUGCUGGCCGUGGCUCCUCCUCACCCCUCACGGCCCCGCACAUCCCCAUGCUUCAGCUCAUGUUGUGCUGUGAGAAGUGGUGCUUGGCCCUGUUUGCCGUCUCUGUGGCCAUGCCCAGCCCAUCAGUCAGGCCAGCUCUCUGGGAGCAGCUUACCUGAGCUCAGAGUGUCUGCACCUUGCUGCCCUCAGUGUAGUCCAAGGACCAGCAUCAGCAUCACCAAAGAGCUUGUCAGAAAGGCAGAAAUAUCAGAUCCCACCCAGACCUAGCAUAUCAGGAUCUCUAUUUUCACAAAAUUGUCCAGGUAAUGUGUGCACAUUGAAAUUUAAGAAGUGCCCUACUGGAUACCUCUCUCUUAUCCAUCUUUUAUUUGGGUAUCACUAGCAAUCCUUCUCCACGACGUUGUUCCCAGGUUCUGUCUAAGGCAAACUUGGGCUUGGACUGGAAGAUACUGCCUCCCCUGAGCAAACUUGCCUGCUCUUCUACCUUAGAUGCUCCCAUAAGCAUCUAGGUGGGUUUAAGAACCUUGUAUAAAGGUCCAUGUUCAGGACCCUUUACAUUCCCAUCCCAAGAGAAGGCCUUGAUCUUGUGCCGGUGCAGUGCCACAAGAUGCUUGGUGUAAAGGGGGAAGAGAAAGCAUAGACCAAGCACAACUGGGUUUCACAAGGACCCCGCUUUGCCUUCGGAGAAGUCGGUAUUGACAGAAAUGGCACAGCCUUGAGAGCCUCAGCGGGGCGCCACUGUCUGCAAGGAUGCCCUUCCAUUCUCAGUUCCAGCAGUCCCUGACUGUCCACUGUGAGAAUUCCUUUUAACAUCAGAGAUCUCUUUCGGUAAGAUAAUUAUGCUCUCAAUAGCUGUGGAUAGAAAAAAUAUGACCGAAAGGAUCAAUGUAGUAAAGUUUUUUUUUUUUUUUUUUUUGAGACGGAGUCUCGCUCUGUCACCCAGGCUGGAGUACAUUGAGGUUGCAGUGAGCCAAGAUCGUGCCAUUGCACUCCAGCCUGGGCGACAGAGUGAGACUCCAUCUAAAAAAAAAAAAGGAAAGAUCAUUGUAGAGUAGAAACAAAAAACUAUUUUUACACACAGUUUUAUGCUCAAUAAAUAAUAACUUUUGUCAGGCGCGAUGGCUCAUGCCUGUAAUCCCAAUACUGGGAGGCCAAGGCGGGCAGAUCACUUGAGCUCGAGAGUUUGAGAACAGCCUGGGCAACAAAGUAAGAGCCCAUCUCUACAAAAAUUAGCCAGGUGAGGCAGCAUGUACCUGUAGUCCCAGCUACUCAGGAGGCUGAGGUAGGAGGAUGGCCUGAACCUGGGAGGCAGAGGUUGCAGUGAGCCCUGAUAACAACACUGUGCUCCAGCCUGGGCAACACAGCCAGACCCUGUCUCAAAAAUAAAAAUAAAAACAAUAAUUUUUACUGCUACUACCAUAUAUCUUGCAAGGAGAGGCUUUCUGAAUAUGUACAACUCUAGAUUCAAAAUUUUCCUAAACUGGGCAACCUAACUUUCCCUGGGAAGCCGUCUGACCACCAUCUUCUGGCCUGGCUGCACGCCGGGUCCUGACCUCCAAACCACAGCACAGUGUGGUGACCAGGAGGAUGCCAGAGGCCAGAGAGUCUUGGGGAUGGAGCUGUGCUUUGACAGUCGGUGAGAGCUGCCAUUCUGGCAGGCCCCGCUCUAGGCCUUUUGUGUACGUUUGUUUAUUUAGUGCCAGGUGAAGGCAAAGAAAUGGAGGCCUAGACAAGCCUAGGCCCUUUCCUCUCGGGCUGUAGCACAGGAGCUGUGGGGCCUCAGAGCUGGUGAGUGGGGCCCAUGCCUUAGGGCCACGCCCUCUGGGUCACACUAGAAGAUGCCGCGUGGCAGUGGGAGGUGUAAUAUAUCCCCUCUGCGGGAAAGGCUGCCAGCUUCCAAACGCUUGCCUGUGUUAGGGCCAUGGGGAGGAGGAGAGGUGCCUGCUGGGGACACACGGGCCAGGCUCCGGCUUCAGACGCCAUUGGAAGCACCUUGUGGAACAUCUGUGCAGCCACAGCACAUAAAAAUGUUUUCCUUCUGGCAGCCACUUUUAUAAGGAUGUAAUAAUAUAUGCAGUGCACAAAUGGUUCUAGUUUUGGUGGUUCGGUGUUGCCAGCGAGCUGACCCUGACCAGGUGUGGAGGGGAGUGAGCAGUGGCGGGCGAGGGGGCUGUGGAAAUAUGGCCGGGUGCGCGGAGCCCUGUGUCCCUCACUCCCCAAGCACCUUUCUCCUUCCCUCCCCAGCCACUGCGUGGCCAUUUACGUAGGCUCACCUUCCCUACCACGGACUGAGGGGGGCCUGUGUUCUGGGGGAUCAGUCUGCUCCUGGGGACAGUGCCGCACACUGCAAGACCCAGCCCUCUCCUCCACCCGACCUCUUCUACCUUUGGUGGCUGAGGGGUUUCGCCUGUUUGUUGUAAGAUGGCUCCUGAUUCUGAAACACAAAGAUGGUAACCAAGAGGCGAAAUUGCUGAUGUGACUGGACUUACCCAGGUGACCCAGGACCUUUGUCGAUGGCCGGGGCCUGUCUUUGGGCUGUUGGUGCCCAUUUAAAAUGGGGCCCACAGUGAGCUCAAAACCCUCAUCCCUUCCCUAGGGUGGCCGGGAAUCUGCCGUCCACAUGGAGCUGGGGAGGAGGAGAGACUCUGAUUUGCUGGAAGGACCUCAUCCAUUUCCGUCCAACCCCCAGGCUUCCCUGCCUGCAGAGCUGACGCCAGCCAGCCCUGAGCCUAGGCACAGUAACCACCUUCACGUCUGGGAGAACACACAGUCCCCGGGGGCCGGCAUGCAAAAGUUCUUUUUGAAGCUGGGUGGAUGGAGCCCCCUCCCUCCUGAGGGUGCUCCCCAGCUCCUGUUGAGCAGACAGCCCACCCCAUCGUCUUGGCACCAGGGUUUUGCUAGUGGCAGAUAAAGAUGAUGUUCCAGCAGACGCUCCAGUGCUGCCAAGGGUGGUGUGUUUAUUAGACCUGAAAUGAGAACUGUCACUCUCAAGUUCAUGGGCACUCUCACUACUCCUGUUUUAUGGAGACCCCCUGGAGUCUGAGGGUCAAGAUUCCUCAGGAUGACUCACCAGAGUGUGCCAAGACAGAUGGGAGCAGAGAAGCCGGUCUUUCUAGCAUUUCUCUCCCUCUUUUCCACUAGUCCUCAACAAAACAGUCUUGCCAGAACCAGAUGUCUGUUUUCUGCAGAUAUUUACUGUUAUGACUUGGGAGGCAGCAGGUUCUGGACUGUUGCCCUCACCUAGACCCCCUCCUUGUCAGAUGCCACCCGUUUUCUCAGACCCGUCGGUCUCCCAGACCACAUUGCUUUGUGAGCAGAUGCUUGUCAGGGACAGCUGUGUCAGAACAGACCAAGUCCAGCCUGGUGAGCCAUGAUGUUCUCUCACUGCUCGGUCCCCCCUCUGCCAUCUACAGCGACAUAGGUUGGGUCUGUUCCCCUGGCAGACAGCAGGCCUUCAGAUCCCUGCCAGAAUCUCUUGUGUCUCCCCUAGCACACACACAUCCCUCCCCACCCACCACCGCCAGGCCUGGAUAGCGCUAGUUCUUUCCCAUGUCUUGGUGUCAGGGCGUUCAGACCUUUUAAGCAGAUGAACUCUAACUCAUUCAAGGCUUUUAAAACCCAGUGCCUUAGCAGGGUACAGUGGCACGCACCUGUAGUUACAGCUGUGUGGGAGGAUUGCAGGAGUUCCUGUCUAGCCUGGGCAACAUAGCAAGACCUUGUCUCUUAAAAGAAAAUUUAAAAAAAAAAAAAAGUGCCCUAAACUGAAUCCAGCCCUGUAGAUGUAGCUGGGCCAGGACAGAACAGAGGGGAACCACUGCCUUCCCAAGCAAGCGAUGGAACCUGGCAGCUGCAGUGUCUUCAUCAUGUGAUGGGGUGGGAAUGCUGCACCUCAUCUGGGCACAAGGAAUAGUGUCAUUUAUGCACCUUAAAGUUGCACAAAAGCUUUCCUAGUAGUGACAUCUCAUCCUUGUCAAACUUGAAAUUAUCUAAAAACCACAAAUCUCUUCGUAGGAACUGUUUGCAGGUCAGCAGUUCCCCAUUUUGUACUGCAUGAAAUGCCCCCUUGAGCCUAAAUAUCUGGCUUGCAUUUGCCCCGGUACAUUGAACUGGUAUGGUGGUGAAGUAGGAAGAGCAAAGGCGUCAGAAUCUAACAGUGCUGUAUGAUUCUUGCUUCUUUAAGCUUUGGUUUCCUUGGGUUUAAAACAGGGUUGCUAGGAAGCUGAGAUGGAAAAAGGUGGCUGCCGCCUGGCUCCACUCCAAGUUGCUGCUCUCGUUCUGUAGCUAGCCCAGGUUUCCGGGUUCCGUAUUAACCUUGUGACCGUCUCAACCCUUGACAGAGUCGAUAGGAAGCUGGUCGUUCUCUCAGCUGGGCCUUAAGUCCUGGACAAACAAGUUGACCAAGGGCAGGCAGAGACUGCUACAGGGUGCCACAUAAUGUAUGCAGUGCACAAAUGCUUCUAUUUUUGGUGGGUCAGUAUUGCCAGCGAGCUGACCCUGACCAGAUGUGGAGGGGAGUGGGUGGGGGGCUGUGGAAAUGUGGCCCGGUCCCUACCCCUAUUGGCAGAGGCUCCAUCCUGCCCUUCCUCUCAGCCACAGGUGCAGGAUGGUAGACGGGAACUUGCCAGAAGGAUGCGACCCUAUUUAAGUAGUUGUGUUUUCUUCCAGCCCAGCAUCCCCACCAAAACAGGAAAAGAAGUGUUCUCGUGCAGAGCUUGUUCACAGUGAGCCUGGCUGGCUCCUCAUGAUCUCUGACUUUAAAAUGUGCCAGCAGAUGAUUUUAAUGAUCCCAUCAAAAAUUGUCUGGAUCAGUUUUGAGCUAGCAUUUCCUUGCAGAGGCCAUUCUUCCUUUUUUGACAAAAGUUGGGUCGGCCAGGUGCAGUAGCUCAUACCUGUAAUCCCAGCACUUUGGGAGGCCAAGGCAGGUGGAUCAACUGAGGUCAGAAGUUCAAGACCAGCCUGGCCAACAUGACAAAACCCUGUCUCUACUAAAAAUACAAAAAAAA